UUUAAAGAGAGUUUGAUCCUGGCUCAGGACGAACGCUGGCGGCGUGCCUAAUACAUGCAAGUCGAACGAACGGAGGAAGAGCUUGCUCUUCCAAAGUUAGUGGCGGACGGGUGAGUAACACGUGGGCAACCUGCCUGUAAGUUGGGGAUAACUCCGGGAAACCGGGGCUAAUACCGAAUGAUAGAGUGUGGCGCAUGCCACGCUUUUGAAAGAUGGUUUCGGCUAUCGCUUACAGAUGGGCCCGCGGUGCAUUAGCUAGUUGGUAGGGUAAUGGCCUACCAAGGCAACGAUGCAUAGCCGACCUGAGAGGGUGAUCGGCCACACUGGGACUGAGACACGGCCCAGACUCCUACGGGAGGCAGCAGUAGGGAAUCUUCCGCAAUGGACGAAAGUCUGACGGAGCAACGCCGCGUGUAUGAAGAAGGUUUUCGGAUCGUAAAGUACUGUUGUUAGAGAAGAACAAGGA
This 466-nucleotide ribosomal RNA is filed under the name Listeria monocytogenes. Its description in RNAcentral is "bacterial SSU rRNA". It matches the Rfam family "Bacterial small subunit ribosomal RNA", at positions 1 to 455 of the family's 1533-position model. The record is from RNAcentral. Lineage: Bacteria; Bacillati; Bacillota; Bacilli; Caryophanales; Listeriaceae.